This 33-nucleotide small RNA is filed under the name Bombyx mori (domestic silkworm). RNAcentral's name for it is "ovarian small RNA-14800". The record is from RNAcentral. Lineage: Eukaryota; Metazoa; Arthropoda; Insecta; Lepidoptera; Bombycidae.
CUGAAAUCGACUUAUGGACGUCCAGGAGUCGGA